Condylura cristata (star-nosed mole) is the source of this 3594-nucleotide RNA transcript. It is a transcript of the gene named Kruppel-like factor 7 (ubiquitous), with no coding region annotated. The record is from RefSeq and is a predicted model, not a curated record. NCBI's taxonomy places the organism in Eukaryota, Metazoa, Chordata, Mammalia, Eulipotyphla, Talpidae. The transcript is spliced from 7 exons.
GAAGCGAUCGCGAGAAAAAAAAAUGCAACCUCCCAAAAUAAAGAGCAAAGAUUGCAUUAGGAGCGAACAGCGCUGCAGAAAUAGAUGGCAGCUUCGUGUCAGUGAGUUUGCAUCCCCUUUCCUGAUCCACGAGCUGGAGUGAUUAGAGCCCUGGAAGGGAAUUGUUACUCCCGUGGAGAAGUCCCCUUUUCCUGGCAGCCGUCUGCACUGUACACUCUGGAUGCCUCUCUCCAUCCACCCCACUCACUCUCUCCUCUCUCACCUCCUCUCUCCCUCUCUCCCGCAUUGAUUUUUUUUUCCUUUUUAGUUGACUGAAACAAAACAAAACAAAAGGGCCACUGGAUGUCUGCCUUCUUGGGGGGUGAGCCAGACAGACUGACAAACAAACAGACCCAACUGUGUUCGGGGGAGGGUUUCUCCUCCCGUUUUGCCCGGCAGCAGCAGCAUGGACGUGUUGGCUAGUUAUAGUAUAUUCCAGGAGCUACAACUUGUCCACGACACCGGCUACUUCUCAGCUUUGCCAUCCCUGGAGGAGACCUGGCAGCAGACAUGCCUUGAAUUGGAACGCUACCUACAGACAGAGCCCAGGAGGAUCUCGGAGACCUUUGGUGAGGACUUGGACUGUUUCCUCCACGCUUCUCCUCCCCCGUGCAUUGAGGAAAGCUUCCGGCGCUUAGACCCCCUGCUGCUCCCUGUGGAAGCGGCCAUCUGCGAGAAGAGCUCAGCAGUGGACAUUUUGCUCUCUCGGGACAAGUUGCUCUCUGAGACCUGCCUCAGCCUCCAGCCAACCAGCUCUUCUCUAGACAGCUACACAGCCGUCAACCAGGCCCAGCUCAACGCAGUGACCUCAUUAACGCCCCCGUCAUCCCCAGAGCUCAGCCGCCAUCUGGUCAAAACCUCACAGACUCUCUCAGCCGUGGAUGGCACGGUGACGUUGAAACUGGUGGCCAAGAAGGCUGCACUCAGCUCAGUAAAGGUGGGAGGGGUGGCAACAGCAGCAGCAGCCGUGGCGGCAGCUGGGACAGUUAAGAGUGGACAGAGCGACAGCGAACAAGGAGGGGUAGGGGCUGAGGCCUGCCCUGAAAACAAGAAGAGGGUUCACCGCUGUCAGUUUAACGGGUGCCGGAAAGUUUAUACAAAAAGCUCCCACUUAAAGGCCCACCAGAGGACUCACACAGGUGAGAAGCCUUACAAGUGCUCAUGGGAAGGGUGUGAGUGGCGUUUUGCACGAAGUGAUGAGCUCACAAGGCACUACAGGAAACACACAGGUGCAAAGCCCUUUAAGUGCAACCACUGCGACAGGUGUUUUUCCAGGUCUGACCAUCUUGCCCUCCAUAUGAAGAGACAUAUCUAAAAAUCCGGAAGGCCAGCGUUGGCAAGGCGUCGGCCGUCGUCUAAAGGAAAUGCCGUGAGGCGCAGGGGCUGGACUUCAAGCGGGGACCCUCUGCCCUGCAGAAGAAAGUUCUCACAAACCUCUGUGUACACACCUACACAGACCCACACACAGACACACACACACACUGUCAUGCACUCAGCUAUAUUUAAAAUAUAUACGUCUAUUCUUUAUGCCUUGCCCUAGCCAGAUGGUGGAAGACGAAGAAGGAAAGCAGGUGAACUCAGCAAGGCAGACUGGCUGCUGACUCCAGCACUAUUGGAAUUAUUUCCCGCUGUUGCCAAUGGAAAUCAAAGAAAAUGGAUAUGAUGUCUCAGCAGAUGGACGGCAGUAAGAGGGGCUUAUUUAACUCGCUUCUCAGUGCAACUUGAUAGGAGAAUACGACGUCUAAAGUUGCAUUUGUGUAGCCUAAUGUUUCUUUUGAAAUAGUUGGGGGAAAAUGACCUAGAAAACCAAAUUGCAGUUUGGUAGCCAAAAUUAACUCUUGGUUUAUCUGUCCUUUGUGUGUGAAAAGUCCUACUAUUCCGUGCGUCCAACUUCCUCACAGAACUGUUGAUCAGUUUUGGUUCUACUUAGUACUAUUGAGAUCUUUCGAGUCAAAACCAACGGCCUUAGCGGCGGCAGACUCUGGAAUAACACCUAACACCUUUCUGGCCUGCAUUUCUCUAGACUUCACUCUCCAGGGAGGAGUUUUCUUUUCUUACUUUUUGACUCUUGCACACCAUAUGCACUAGGGAUUCUGGAAACUUCUAGCAUGACUGCAAAGUGGCCAAGAGAAUAAAGUCCUUGAUGAUAAAUCACAGUGUAUCCCUUGAGCCUCACCUUAUUGCCAGUGCUAGAUUUUUUCUUUUUAAUCUCUCUGUUUUUGCUAACGAAAACUUGAAAAGCUUAUUUGGAAGCUUAAAUGUUUUAUCUUUUCUCCAUGGACUAAACCUCUCCAGGACUCUCGGCACCUGGAUGUCCAGCUCUCGAAGCAGCCAAUCAGAUGGGACAUCACAGUUCUCUCAUCUUCCUUGAGGCAUCAUGGUCUCGGCUCAUAGCGAUCAACCCUGUGCCGGUGUUACGGCCACCCUAGAACCAGUCUCAGCAUAGAUGUCGCUAGUCUCAAAGGGCAGCUGCAUAUGUGACCUAACUCUGGGUUAUGACCUGACAAAAAGCCAAAAAAAAAAAAAUCACUUUUUCCAGGUGUGGGGAAAACUGAGGAUGCCUCCCAAGUCUAGUGGCUUCAAAAAACGUCAUCCUUUCUUCCUCUCUCACGCCCACUGAGCUCAUAGGACCCCACAUGUUAAAACACUCCAUUCAGAAUGCCAUUGUGGGUACGGAGGGUUGACAGGUGAAGACAGAAAGAGAAGAUUGCACCGUGAUGAGGAGGGGGUUGCUACCGCAUCUUCACUGCUGGUGCUGAGAUGCUCAGGGCACUGUACUGGCCAUUUGGAAGCAGCGAUGAGCAGCUGAUUGGCUCUUGGGGAUGAUAAAUGAGACCGACUGGGCACCGAGUCAAGGGGCUAUCUGGAAGGCCGCCAUUUUCACCCAGCUCCUCUCAUCUUCAGGGGGCUCUUCUCUACACCUUGGUCUUCUCUGGCUCUCUUUCCAGUUUCUGCAGGCUCUCUUCUCUUCUGCUUUCCUUCAUCCUCAAAGUUGAAAAAUUGUAAUUGUCCAGGCUAGGUCUGAGGCUCAUUGCUGGCUGGCUCAGCUGUUGCUAGGGGGACAGGCGAGCCGUGGUGAGGCACCCGACAUUCAUCCUUCCAGAAUGAGGACACGGACACAGACGGGAGGAAAAGAGAGCGAACUUUGUGCCUUUCUGCAGGGUGAUGGACAGUAGUCCCCCUCUACAACUGGGAUGGAGUAUGUCCUUGCAAAUUGUUCUGUUUUUUUCAAGUGCAUCCAUUAGAAUAUGGUCCAACACUUGCAUUGACCCAAUUCCAGAAUCACCAGCUCCUUUUCGUCCACACUUCUGCCACGUGUCUUUUCAAAAGAUUUAAGGAGGGGAAAAUCAGAGCAAGGCAGUUCCAUGACAACCAAGAGGAAAGUUACAGCACUGGAGGAAAAAAACUAACAUAAUUUCAUUACAGUUAGAUGAGUUUCCUUAUUACUUCAGUGAGAGCGAAUACAGGGCACAGGCAGAAAGCGCAAUAAAUGAGGAAUCUAGAAACAUUUUUCCUAACUGUCUCUGGUGAGUUGUGACCUGAGGCAAAUCACUU